AUCCUUGCGCAUGGGGACCUGACGCAGCUUGGGAGGUAAUACCGAGGCGCGUCGAUUGCUGGUCGGAAACUAUUUCCAAACCACCUCUCUGGCCCUAGGCCGCCGAGAAUUUCUGGAAGGGCUCCCUCUAACCAGGGUAAAGCC
Phragmites australis (common reed) is the source of this 144-nucleotide small nuclear RNA. RefSeq annotates it as U4 spliceosomal RNA. The transcript has a single exon. The record is from RefSeq and is a predicted model, not a curated record. NCBI's taxonomy places the organism in Eukaryota, Viridiplantae, Streptophyta, Magnoliopsida, Poales, Poaceae.